RNAcentral lists this ribosomal RNA (253 nucleotides) under uncultured bacterium. RNAcentral describes it as "partial 16S ribosomal RNA". It matches the Rfam family "Bacterial small subunit ribosomal RNA", at positions 524 to 776 of the family's 1533-position model. The record is from RNAcentral.
AACGUAGGUACCGAGCGUUAUCCGGAUUUACUGGGCGUAAAGCGCGUUCAGGCGGUUUGGCAAGUCGGGCAUGAAAUCUCUCGGCUCAACCGGGAGAGGUUGUCCGAUACUUCCAGACUUGAGGGCAGUAGAGGGUGGUGGAAUUCCUGGUGUAGCGGUGAAAUGCGCAGAUAUCGGGAGGAACACCGGUGGCGAAGGCGGUUCUCUGGGCCUUACCUGACGCUGAGGAGCGAAAGCGUGGGGAGCGAACAGG